Molecule: transfer RNA, 77 nt
Filed under: Blastocatellia bacterium AA13
Lineage: Bacteria; Pseudomonadati; Acidobacteriota; Blastocatellia
Also listed under: 1 other name
Description: tRNA-Pro
Rfam family: tRNA
About the family: Transfer RNA (tRNA) molecules are approximately 80 nucleotides in length. Their secondary structure includes four short double-helical elements and three loops (D, anti-codon, and T loops).
Source: RNAcentral
CGGGGCGUGGCUCAGCCCGGUAGAGCGCUCGGUUCGGGACCGAGAGGUCGUUGGUUCGAAUCCAAUCGCCCCGACCA